CUAUACAUGCAGUCGACGAACUCUGGUAUUGAUUGGUGCUUGCAUCAUGAUUUACAUUUGAGUGAGUGGCGAACUGGUGAGUAACACGUGGGAAACCUGCCCAGAAGCGGGGGAUAACACCUGGAAACAGAUGCUAAUACCGCAUAACAACUUGGACCGCAUGGUCCGAGCUUGAAAGAUGGCUUCGGCUAUCACUUUUGGAUGGUCCCGCGGCGUAUUAGCUAGAUGGUGGGGUAACGGCUCACCAUGGCAAUGAUACGUAGCCGACCUGAGAGGGUAAUCGGCCACAUUGGGACUGAGACACGGCCCAAACUCCUACGGGAGGCAGCAGUAGGGAAUCUUCCACAAUGGACGAAAGUCUGAUGGAGCAACGCCGCGUGAGUGAAGAAGGGUUUCGGCUCGUAAAACUCUGUUGUUAAAGAAGAACAUAUCUGAGAGUAACUGUUCAGGUAUUGACGGUAUUUAACCAGAAAGCCACGGCUAACUACGUGCCAGCAGCCGCGGUAAUACGUAGGUGGCAAGCGUUGUCCGGAUUUAUUGGGCGUAAAGCGAGCGCAGGCGGUUUUUUAAGUCUGAUGUGAAAGCCUUCGGCUCAACCGAAGAAGUGCAUCGGAAACUGGGAAACUUGAGUGCAGAAGAGGACAGUGGAACUCCAUGUGUAGCGGUGAAAUGCGUAGAUAUAUGGAAGAACACCAGUGGCGAAGGCGGCUGUCUGGUCUGUAACUGACGCUGAGGCUCGAAAGUAUGGGUAGCAAACAGGAUUAGAUACCCUGGUAGUCCAUACCGUAAACGAUGAAUGCUAAGUGUUGGAGGGUUUCCGCCCUUCAGUGCUGCAGCUAACGCAUUAAGCAUUCCGCCUGGGGAGUACGGCCGCAAGGCUGAAACUCAAAGGAAUUGACGGGGGCCCGCACAAGCGGUGGAGCAUGUGGUUUAAUUCGAAGCUACGCGAAGAACCUUACCAGGUCUUGACAUACUAUGCAAAUCUAAGAGAUUAGACGUUCCCUUCGGGGACAUGGAUACAGGUGGUGCAUGGUUGUCGUCAGCUCGUGUCGUGAGAUGUUGGGUUAAGUCCCGCAACGAGCGCAACCCUUAUUAUCAGUUGCCAGCAUUAAGUUGGGCACUCUGGUGAGACUGCCGGUGACAAACCGGAGGAAGGUGGGGAUGACGUCAAAUCAUCAUGCCCCUUAUGACCUGGGCUACACACGUGCUACAAUGGAUGGUACAACGAGUUGCGAACUCGCGAGAGUAAGCUAAUCUCUUAAAGCCAUUCUCAGUUCGGAUUGUAGGCUGCAACUCGCCUACAUGAAGUCGGAAUCGCUAGUAAUCGCGGAUCAGCAUGCCGCGGUGAAUACGUUCCCGGGCCUUGUACACACCGCCCGUCACACCAUGAGAGUUUGUAACACCCAAAGUCGGUGGGGUAACCUUUUAGGAACCAGCCGCCUAAG
RNAcentral lists this ribosomal RNA (1445 nucleotides) under Lactiplantibacillus plantarum. RNAcentral's name for it is "bacterial SSU rRNA". It matches the Rfam family "Bacterial small subunit ribosomal RNA". Lineage: Bacteria; Bacillati; Bacillota; Bacilli; Lactobacillales; Lactobacillaceae. The record is from RNAcentral.